Cucumis melo (muskmelon) is the source of this 371-nucleotide long non-coding RNA. RefSeq lists it as uncharacterized. The transcript is spliced from 2 exons. Lineage: Eukaryota; Viridiplantae; Streptophyta; Magnoliopsida; Cucurbitales; Cucurbitaceae. The record is from RefSeq and is a predicted model, not a curated record.
AUCACGCUGCUCAUUGGCUCCUAAAACAGUGGAGGCUCUCAUAUGUACUCAAAAUUGGCUAAAUUCUGAUCCAAUACAUCUUCAAUUUCAACAUGAAUUGGAAGAGGCUUCAAAAUUUGAAGAAGGAUUUCGGGUGGUUAUGGAGAAUGAAAAGGAGCUUGAAGACCUUCUAGAUUUUGAUAAGUUGUCAACUACCGAUUAUUAACUAAUUCUGAUCCAAGACUUGUAAUAUUUCUAUUGACUAGAUUAUCAUAGUGUUUUUGUUCAUACUUUGGUUGUAUUUGUGACUAUUAAUAGUAAUGUGGUGAACUGAAUUGAACUUGGAUGUUUCUAACCCUAUAAUAUUUGAUAUAUAUUUCAUUUUGGUAGUA